UUCAAGCGAUUCUCCUGCCUCAGCCUCUCAGAUAGCAAGAUUCCUGUGCAUCAGCUUGGAAAUGAAGCAGCCACAAGCCCUUCCCUGAAGGUGCACGCAGGCUGGAGCCCCGGGGAUUUCCACAGCAGUCUUGGUCUCGGGAGAAGAGUGGGCCUGUCCCUGUUUUCCAGGUACCCUCUAACCUCGUGGAUUUUCACAUAUCUCCAGGGAAGGGGAGAGCAUGCUCUGUCCUGUUACCACGAAUCUAACUUUCAUUCCAGGCUCGAGGGUGAGGGUGCCAAAGCUGAGGUAACUUGAAAUAAA
Molecule: long non-coding RNA, 303 nt
Organism: Macaca mulatta (Rhesus monkey)
Lineage: Eukaryota; Metazoa; Chordata; Mammalia; Primates; Cercopithecidae
Source: RefSeq, a predicted model, not a curated record